UAACCUGCCCAAGAGAUCGGGAUAACACCUGGAAACAGAUGCUAAUACCGGAUAACAACAGAUGAUGCCUAUCAACUGUUUAAAAGAUGGUUCUGCUAUCACNCUUGGAUGGACCUGCGGUGCAUUAGCUAGUUGGUAGGGUAACGGCCUACCAAGGCGAUGAUGCAUAGCCGAGUUGAGAGACUGAUGGCCACAUUGGGACUGAGACACGGCCCAAACUCCUACGGGAGGCAGCAGCC
RNAcentral lists this ribosomal RNA (239 nucleotides) under uncultured Lactobacillus sp. RNAcentral's name for it is "partial 16S ribosomal RNA". It matches the Rfam family "Bacterial small subunit ribosomal RNA", at positions 122 to 355 of the family's 1533-position model. The record is from RNAcentral. Lineage: Bacteria; Bacillati; Bacillota; Bacilli; Lactobacillales; Lactobacillaceae.